RNAcentral lists this ribosomal RNA (498 nucleotides) under uncultured bacterium. RNAcentral describes it as "partial 16S ribosomal RNA". It matches the Rfam family "Bacterial small subunit ribosomal RNA", at positions 28 to 507 of the family's 1533-position model. The record is from RNAcentral.
GACGAACGCUGGCGGCGUGCCUAAUACAUGCAAGUCGAACGAGAGCGACCGGUGCUUGCACUGGUCAAUCUAGUGGCGAACGGGUGAGUAACACGUGGGUAACCUGCCCAUCAGAGGGGGAUAACAUCCGGAAACGGAUGCUAAAACCGCAUAGGUCUUCGAGCCGCAUGGCUUGAAGAGGAAAAGAGGCGCAAGCUUCUGCUGAUGGAUGGACCCGCGGUGCAUUAGCUAGUUGGUGAGGUAACGGCUCACCAAGGCAGUGAUGCAUAGCCGACCUGAGAGGGUGAUCGGCCACAUUGGGACUGAGACACGGCCCAAACUCCUACGGGAGGCAGCAGUAGGGAAUCUUCCGCAAUGGACGCAAGUCUGACGGAGCAACGCCGCGUGAGUGAAGAAGGUUUUCGGAUCGUAAAACUCUGUUGUUAGAGAAGAACAAGUGCUAGAGUAACUGUUAGCGCCUUGACGGUAUCUAACCAGAAAGCCGCGGCUAACUACGUG